AACGAACGCUGGCGGCGUGCUUAACAUAUGCAAGUCGAGCGAGAAAGGGAGCUUCGGCACCUGAGUAAAGCGGCGCACGGGUGAGUAACACGUGGGUAACCUGCCUUUCAGUGGGGGAUAACAGUUCGAAAGGGCUGCUAAUACCGCAUUCGUCCACACGGUCACAUGUCUGUGUGGAGAAAGAGGCGCAAGUCUCGCUGGAAGAUGGGCCCGCGGUCCAUUAGCUAGUUGGUGGGGUAAAGGCCUACCAAGGCUUCGAUGGAUAGCUGGUCUGAGAGGAUGAUCAGCCACACUGGAACUGAGACACGGUCCAGACUCCUACGGGAGGCAGCAGUGGGGAAUAUUGGACAAUGGGGGCGAACCCUGAUCCAGCCAUGCCGCGUGAAGGAUGAAUGUCGUAAGAUUGUAAACUUCUUUUUGAGGUAGACGAAAAACGAGUUGGUAGCUCGAAUUGACUGUACCCUUAGAAUAAGCCCGGCUAACUACGUGCCAG
This 493-nucleotide ribosomal RNA is filed under the name uncultured bacterium. RNAcentral's name for it is "bacterial SSU rRNA". It matches the Rfam family "Bacterial small subunit ribosomal RNA", at positions 29 to 511 of the family's 1533-position model. The record is from RNAcentral.